RNAcentral lists this ribosomal RNA (1279 nucleotides) under Mycobacterium sp. RNAcentral's name for it is "bacterial SSU rRNA". It matches the Rfam family "Bacterial small subunit ribosomal RNA", at positions 114 to 1403 of the family's 1533-position model. The record is from RNAcentral. Lineage: Bacteria; Bacillati; Actinomycetota; Actinomycetes; Mycobacteriales; Mycobacteriaceae.
CACGUGGGUGAUCUGCCCUGCACUUUGGGAUAAGCCUGGGAAACUGGGUCUAAUACCGAAUACACCCUGCUGGUCGCAUGGCCUGGUGGGGGAAAGCUUUUGCGGUGUGGGAUGGGCCCGCGGCCUAUCAGCUUGUUGGUGGGGUGAUGGCCUACCAAGGCGACGACGGGUAGCCGGCCUGAGAGGGUGUCCGGCCACACUGGGACUGAGAUACGGCCCAGACUCCUACGGGAGGCAGCAGUGGGGAAUAUUGCACAAUGGGCGCAAGCCUGAUGCAGCGACGCCGCGUGAGGGAUGACGGCCUUCGGGUUGUAAACCUCUUUCAGCAGGGACGAAGCGCAAGUGACGGUACCUGCAGAAGAAGCACCGGCCAACUACGUGCCAGCAGCCGCGGUAAUACGUAGGGUGCGAGCGUUGUCCGGAAUUACUGGGCGUAAAGAGCUCGUAGGUGGUUUGUCGCGUUGUUCGUGAAAACUCACAGCUCAACUGUGGGCGUGCGGGCGAUACGGGCAGACUGGAGUACUGCAGGGGAGACUGGAAUUCCUGGUGUAGCGGUGGAAUGCGCAGAUAUCAGGAGGAACACCGGUGGCGAAGGCGGGUCUCUGGGCAGUAACUGACGCUGAGGAGCGAAAGCGUGGGGAGCGAACAGGAUUAGAUACCCUGGUAGUCCACGCCGUAAACGGUGGGUACUAGGUGUGGGUUUCCUUCCUUGGGAUCCGUGCCGUAGCUAACGCAUUAAGUACCCCGCCUGGGGAGUACGGCCGCAAGGCUAAAACUCAAAGAAAUUGACGGGGGCCCGCACAAGCGGCGGAGCAUGUGGAUUAAUUCGAUGCAACGCGAAGAACCUUACCUGGGUUUGACAUGCACAGGACGCUGGUAGAGAUAUCAGUUCCCUUGUGGUCUGUGUGCAGGUGGUGCAUGGCUGUCGUCAGCUCGUGUCGUGAGAUGUUGGGUUAAGUCCCGCAACGAGCGCAACCCCUAUCUUAUGUUGCCAGCGCGUUAUGGCGGGGACUCGUAAGAGACUGCCGGGGUCAACUCGGAGGAAGGUGGGGAUGACGUCAAGUCAUCAUGCCCCUUAUGUCCAGGGCUUCACACAUGCUACAAUGGCCGGUACAAAGGGCUGCGAAUCCGUGAGGUGGAGCGAAUCCCUUGAAAGCCGGUCUCAGUUCGGAUCGGGGUCUGCAACUCGACCCCGUGAAGUCGGAGUCGCUAGUAAUCGCAGAUCAGCAACGCUGCGGUGAAUACGUUCCCGGGCCUUGUACACACCGCCCGUCACGUC